UACGGGGGGAGCAAGCGUUGUUCGGAUUUACUGGGCGUAAAGGGCGCGUAGGCGGCGUGACAAGUCACUUGUGAAAUCUCCGGGCUUAACCCGGAGCGGCCAAGUGAUACUGUCGUGCUAGAGUGCGGAAGGGGCUACUGGAAUUCUCGGUGUAGCGGUGAAAUGCGUAGAUAUCAGGAGGAACACCGGUGGCGAAGGCGGGUCUCUGGGCCGUAACUGACGCUGAGGAGCGAAAGCGUGGGGAGCGAACAGG
This 253-nucleotide ribosomal RNA is filed under the name uncultured bacterium. RNAcentral's name for it is "partial 16S ribosomal RNA". It matches the Rfam family "Bacterial small subunit ribosomal RNA", at positions 524 to 776 of the family's 1533-position model. The record is from RNAcentral.